This 80-nucleotide transfer RNA is filed under the name Friedmanniomyces endolithicus. Its description in RNAcentral is "tRNA-Ile". Lineage: Eukaryota; Fungi; Ascomycota; Dothideomycetes; Mycosphaerellales; Teratosphaeriaceae. The record is from RNAcentral.
GGUCGCUUAGCUCAGUUGGUUAGAGCGUGGUGCUAAUAAUCGUAUGACACGCCAAGGUCGCGAGUUCGACCGUACGUUCA